AACGCGUGAGGAUCUGGCUUCAGGACGGGGAUAACAUUGGGAAACUGAUGCUAAUACCCGAUAUGGCGAGAGCUGAAAGAUUAAUUGCCUGAAGAUGAACUCGCGUCCGAUUAGCUAGUUGGAGUGGUAAAGGCACCCCAAGGCGAUGAUCGGUAGCUGGUCUGAGAGGAUGAUCAGCCACACUGGGACUGAGACACGGCCCAGACUCCUACGGGAGGCAGCAGUGGGGAAUUUUCCGCAAUGGGCGAAAGCCUGACGGAGCAAUACCGCGUGCGGGAGGACGGCCUUUGGGUUGUAAACCGCUUUUCUCAGGGAAGAAGAUCUGACGGUACCUGAGGAAUCAGCAUCGGCUAACUCCGUGCCAGCAGCCGCGGUAAUACGGAGGAUGCAAGCGUUAUCCGGAAUUAUUGGGCGUAAAGCGUCCGCAGGUGGUUGGUCAAGUCUGCUGUCAAAGCGUGGAGCUUAACUCCAUAAGGGCGGUGGAAACUGAUUAACUAGAGGAUGGUAGGGGUCACGGGAAUUCCCAGUGUAGCGGUGAAAUGCGUAGAUAUUGGGAAGAACACCAGCGGCGAAAGCGCGUGACUGGGCCAUUACUGACACUCAUGGACGAAAGCUAGGGGAGCGAAAGGGAUUAGAUAC
RNAcentral lists this ribosomal RNA (639 nucleotides) under Kamptonema sp. ISB 50. RNAcentral's name for it is "bacterial SSU rRNA". It matches the Rfam family "Bacterial small subunit ribosomal RNA", at positions 112 to 785 of the family's 1533-position model. Lineage: Bacteria; Bacillati; Cyanobacteriota; Cyanophyceae; Oscillatoriales; Microcoleaceae. The record is from RNAcentral.